This 301-nucleotide ribosomal RNA is filed under the name uncultured bacterium. RNAcentral's name for it is "partial 16S ribosomal RNA". It matches the Rfam family "Bacterial small subunit ribosomal RNA", at positions 509 to 807 of the family's 1533-position model. The record is from RNAcentral.
CAGCAGCCACGGUAACACGUAGGCGGCAAGCGUUGUCCGGAAUUAUUGGGCGUAAAGGGCUCGCAGGCGGUUUCUUAAGUCUGAUGUGAAAGCCCCCGGCUCAACCGGGGAGGGUCAUUGGAAACUGGGAAACUUGAGUGCAGAAGAGGAGAGUGGAAUUCCACGUGUAGCGGUGAAAUGCGUAGAGAUGUGGAGGAACACCAGUGGCGAAGGCGACUCUCUGGUCUGUAACUGACGCUGAGGAGCGAAAGCGUGGGGAGCGAACAGGAUUAGAUACCCCUGUAGUCCCUGUCUCUUAUAC